This is a long non-coding RNA of Drosophila pseudoobscura, 598 nucleotides long. RefSeq lists it as uncharacterized. NCBI's taxonomy places the organism in Eukaryota, Metazoa, Arthropoda, Insecta, Diptera, Drosophilidae. The record is from RefSeq and is a predicted model, not a curated record. The transcript is spliced from 2 exons.
CACAGUGCCUGGAUGGCCGCUUAAUAGCCUCUGCACACUGAGCCCAUCCCGGGGGAAUGGUGGGAUUUUUUGACAAAUGUGAAACUCCGAUUCACACUGCCACCAUCCACCAUCCACCAUCCAACAUCCAUCAAAAACAGCUGAUGCCAAUAACAAGUUCAUUAAAUUUGCGCGGAAGAUUUAUUAAUUCUUAAUAAUGGAUGAUAGAGAUAUAGCAAUUAUUUCGGCUGUGGUUGCACAGCAAAAUAUUUUCUUGCACCAACUAAUAAUGUUGAUUAAUGAUGAUGACGAUGAGGACUUUAACUUUGACGAAGAUGAGAUGCUUGACUGGGUCACUGCCAUAAAAACACAAAAGCCAGGAAGGUUAUGGUCGUAUAAGCGGUUCGGGACAUUUUGGGAGAAAGAUGUACCAGAAAACAACGAGGCGUUUUUCAAAGAGAGUUUCCGAAUGGAGAGGCACUGCUUUGAUAUUUUAGUGAAUCGGCUUGAAGUGCUGCGAAAGAAGGACACCAACUGCCGAGCUGCAAUUCCUUUGGAAAAGCGCAUCGCCAUUGCGCUAUACACUUUGGGCUCGUCCUCUGAGUACCGAACAGUUGGC